GCCAUCUCCUUCCUCCAAAAUUUGCCUUUUAAUAAUCUCAUUUUGAUUUCUCGAUUUAUGUUUUUUCUGAACAAAAUAGGUGCAGAUUGGACGAUGAAGAGACGAGGAAGGAUGUUAGGAAGAGUGAAGAACAAGGCGGACCUUCUCUGGUGGAAGAACAAGAUGAACCCUCUUUUGUGGGUCCUGUUUUUGGCAAAAUAUGUGGGGACUCGAAUGACAAUGAGCAGGUGCCAUUAAUUCCUACAAUGGCCUUUUUCUUCUUCUCAGAAGCCAGAUAAUGUUCAGUUGGAAGAGAUGGAUAUGAGGUGGCGGAAUGGCAAGGCGUCUGGUCAGAUGACCUGUGUCUGUGGUCAGUUGGUGGAUCUCGACUACAGGAACAUCACCGAUGCAAUCCAUAGUAGAUUGGAGAAAGUGAUGCGUGUUAGCCGUGAACUUAAUGGGUUGCUUGUUCCUUGCAGAUGAAUCCAUUCUGAUGAGCUUUGUAAAUAUUAGAUAAAAUUUGAUGUUGUCCCCUUGAGAUUAAACGGAUGCGUCACACUAUCAGAUGAAAUGCGUGUUACAUCAAACAAAAUCCAUGAUCGAGCUACCUUGGACCCUACUGCUUCAAGCACUAUCUAAGAAAGGCAUAUGAUCCAGACUCAGAUUCAAGCUGCAUUGAGGGUUAUGCUUGAGACAUGGAUGAUGGCUACAACCACUAUGUGCGACCGUAGGCUACGGCGGAGACAGGCCCCAGGCAGCCUGAGCCGAUGCCUGGGGCAUGAGGCUGAUUCCCUUCGUACACUGUAGAGAACACUGUAGCUACAGUGUUGCAGUGCUUCCUAGGCCGGCCGGGGGCGUGGCUGAAUCCUGGCGCCGCCACUGACCAUAGGCAUGCCUGCUUAGACGAUGAAAUUAUGUUCAAUACUGCUGGGACAUGUAACGAUGACUCAACUUAAUACCACCACCUUCUCGCGUCUUGGUCCUUGCUGCGAGCAAGACAAUGCAUCUCUGGCCUUUGCUAAUAUAGCUUACUUUUAUAAAGCCAAUGUAUGCCAUUAUCAAGUGAUAUGAAUAUCUUCUUUUAAGCUA
This is a non-coding RNA of Aegilops tauschii subsp. strangulata, 1068 nucleotides long. The record is from RefSeq and is a predicted model, not a curated record. Lineage: Eukaryota; Viridiplantae; Streptophyta; Magnoliopsida; Poales; Poaceae.